UCUAGGGAGGGUAGCAGUAUACAGACCUUACCCCUACCUCAUAGAGAUAGAUAGGUUGUUUUCGAUAGACCCUCGACUUAAGGAACUAUGAAAAGCAGAUGGUGGAAUAAAAGUAUAACUAACAUAUCCUCCAACCAAGUAUUUUCACAUCCGGGUAUGCUAGCGACCACUGUAAGUCUAGAACUAGUAGUAAUGAUUAAGAUGAAGGACAAAGGUCCUUUUUUCUUAUUUAUUCCGCAAAGAUAAUCUAUACUACAGUAUAGUAGUAAAAGAAAUGAAAUGGAAAAAAAGACAAAUCAUCAUUUGGAUCUUCAGAAUUAAAAGUUGAAAGGUACAGAGAUGAGAAAAAUAUUUUCUUCAGAACUUAAUAUGAACUUGAACAAACUCAAUGUUGAAGAAAGUUUAAAGGUUGGUUGCAAUCACCGAUAGCUGUAGUAAAAUAAUUACGAUUCCUCCGCUCUUACUAGAGAUCUUAAUUUGAUUGGAGUCAUCGCAAUUAAACAAUCUUAAUGUUCGAAUGAAUUAAGCCCAAAAGACAUAAUUAAGUAUAUAAAUGUAUGAUUUGUCAUU
This 570-nucleotide long non-coding RNA is filed under the name Nicotiana benthamiana. RNAcentral describes it as "long non-coding RNA (NBEN_LNC011941)". Lineage: Eukaryota; Viridiplantae; Streptophyta; Magnoliopsida; Solanales; Solanaceae. The record is from RNAcentral.